AUUGAACGCUGGCGGCAUGCUUUACACAUGCAAGUCGAACGGUAACAGGCCGCAAGGUGCUGACGAGUGGCGAACGGGUGAGUAAUGCAUCGGAACGUGCCCAGUCGUGGGGGAUAACGCAGCGAAAGCUGUGCUAAUACCGCAUACGAUCUAUGGAUGAAAGCGGGGGACCGUAAGGCCUCGCGCGAUUGGAGCGGCCGAUGUCAGUUUAGGUAGUUGGUGGGGUAAAGGCUCACCAAGCCAACGAUCUGUAGCUGGUCUGAGAGGACGACCAGCCACACUGGGACUGAGACACGGCCCAGACUCCUACGGGAGGCAGCAGUGUGGAAUUUUGGACAAUGGGCGCAAGCCUGAUCCAGCAAUGCCGCGUGCAGGAAGAAGGCCUUCGGGUUGUAAACUGCUUUUGUACGGAACGAAACGGCGAGCUCUAAUACAGUUUGCUAAUGACGGUACCGUAAGAAUAAGCACCGGCUAACUACGUGCCAGCAGCCGCAGUAA
RNAcentral lists this ribosomal RNA (498 nucleotides) under uncultured bacterium. RNAcentral's name for it is "partial 16S ribosomal RNA". It matches the Rfam family "Bacterial small subunit ribosomal RNA", at positions 30 to 523 of the family's 1533-position model. The record is from RNAcentral.